RNAcentral lists this ribosomal RNA (264 nucleotides) under uncultured bacterium. RNAcentral describes it as "partial 16S ribosomal RNA". It matches the Rfam family "Bacterial small subunit ribosomal RNA", at positions 29 to 319 of the family's 1533-position model. The record is from RNAcentral.
AGCGAACGCUGGCGGCAGGCUUAACACAUGCAAGUCGAGCGGGCGUAGCAAUACGUCAGCGGCAGACGGGUGAGUAACGCGUGGGAACGUACCUUUUGGUUCGGAACAACACAGGGAAACUUGUGCUAAUACCGGAUAAGCCCUUACGGGGAAAGAUUUAUCGCCGAAGAUCGGCCCGCGUCUGAUUAGCUAGUUGGUGAGGUAACGGCUCACCAAGGCGACGAUCAGUAGCUGGUCUGAGAGGAUGAUCAGCCACAUUGGGAC